UCUUAAAAUCAGUCGAAUUGUAUAACCCUUAAUGGUUGUACAACUCAGUAAAUAUACUAAAAUUCAAAAAAUGGUACAGUUUAAAAUCAGUGAAUUGUAUGACCCUCAAUAAAGCUGUGAUUUUUUUUAAAAAGGAAACAGAAAAUAAAACCUUAGGAGAAAAAAAUGAAAUAACAUGUCUGCAACUUAUUUUCAAAUAAGUUUCAAAAUACUUUUUGAAAUACUUGUUUCAAAAGUAUUAUGUAUAUUAUACAUAUAUAGAGAGAGAAUAAGUCCAUUCUCUUAAAUAAGUCCCUCCUCUACUAAAAAUAAAAAUA
Long non-coding RNA from Sapajus apella (tufted capuchin), 317 nucleotides. RefSeq lists it as uncharacterized. NCBI's taxonomy places the organism in Eukaryota, Metazoa, Chordata, Mammalia, Primates, Cebidae. The record is from RefSeq and is a predicted model, not a curated record. The transcript has 4 exons.